CCUACGGGCGGCAGCAGUGAGGAAUAUUGGUCAAUGGACGAGAGUCUGAACCAGCCAAGUAGCGUGAAGGAUGACUGCCCUAUGGGUUGUAAACUUCUUUUAUAUGGGAAUAAAAUGUUCCACGUGUGGGAUUUUGUAUGUACCAUAUGAAUAAGGAUCGGCUAACUCCGUGCCAGCAGCCGCGGUAAUACGGAGGAUCCGAGCGUUAUCCAGAUUUAUUGGGUUUAAAGGGAGCGUAGGUGGAUUGUUAAGUCAGUUGUGAAAGUUUGCGGCUCAACCGUAAAAUUGCAGUUGAAACUGGCAGUCUUGAGUACAGUAGAGGUGGGCGGAAUUCGUGGUGUAGCGGUGAAAUGCUUAGAUAUCACGAAGAACUCCGAUUGCGAAGGCAGUUCACUGGACUGCAACUGACACUGAGGCUCGAAAGUGUGGGUAUCAAACAGGAUUAGAUACCCGGGUAGUC
Molecule: ribosomal RNA, 460 nt
Filed under: uncultured bacterium
Lineage: Bacteria
Description: partial 16S ribosomal RNA
Rfam family: Bacterial small subunit ribosomal RNA
Source: RNAcentral